GACAGAGGGGGCAAGCGUUGCUCGGAAUUACUGGGCGUAAAGGGCGCGUAGGCGGGAUGGCAAGUCGGUCGUGAAAUCCCUCGGCUCAACCGAGGAACGUCGAUCGAUACUGCUGUUCUUGAGGAUUGCAGAGGAGACUGGAAUUCCCGGUGUAGCGGUGAAAUGUGUAGAGAUCGGGAGGAACACCGGUGGCGAAGGCGGGUCUCUGGGCAAUUCCUGACGCUGAGGCGCGAAAGCGUGGGGAGCAACGGG
Molecule: ribosomal RNA, 252 nt
Filed under: uncultured bacterium
Lineage: Bacteria
Description: partial 16S ribosomal RNA
Rfam family: Bacterial small subunit ribosomal RNA
Source: RNAcentral